Molecule: ribosomal RNA, 495 nt
Filed under: uncultured bacterium
Lineage: Bacteria
Description: bacterial SSU rRNA
Rfam family: Bacterial small subunit ribosomal RNA
Source: RNAcentral
AGACAAUAGAUACCCAGGUAGUCCACGCCGUAAACGAUGAAUGUUAGCCGUCGGGCAGUUUACUGUUCGGUGGCGCAGCUAAACGCAUUAAACAUUCCGCCUGGGGAGUACGGUCGCAAGAUUAAAACUCAAAGGAAUUGACGGGGGCCCGGCACAAGCGGUGGAGCAUGUGGUUUAAAUUCGAAGCAACGCGCAGAACCUUACCAGCCCUUGACAUCCCGAUCGCGGAUUACGGAGACGUUUUCCUUCAGUUCGGCUGGAUCGGAGACAGGUGCUGCAUGGCUGUCGUCAGCUCGUGUCGUGAGAUGUUGGGUUAAGUCCCGCAACGAGCGCAACCCUCGCCCUUAGUUGCCAGCAUUUAGUUGGGCACUCUAAGGGGACUGCCGGUGAUAAGCCGAGAGGAAGGUGGGGAUGACGUCAAGUCCUCAUGGCCCUUACGGGCUGGGCUACACACGUGCUACAAUGGUGGUGACAGUGGGCAGCGAGACCGCGAGG